Molecule: long non-coding RNA, 3047 nt
Organism: Astatotilapia calliptera (eastern happy)
Lineage: Eukaryota; Metazoa; Chordata; Actinopteri; Cichliformes; Cichlidae
Source: Ensembl
CGAUAACAUCCAUGGUUAGUCAACACAGAUUUAAGCUUCUCUUUUUUUUGAUUGCACAAGUAAAGGGCUUGGUUAUUUUUGUGUAUCAUCAUUGGUUGUUUCUGUAUAAUGCUAUGUGUGGCACAGAGGUAUAAAAGUUCCUAAUCUGUAGUUCAGCUUCAACUUGAGGAGGAGGAACUGUUCAACUGAAAAGUUACAACCUCCACGGCUGCAUUCUUACACAUUUAUUGAAAACAGAACUUGAAAAAGUUGAAAUGAAGAAGCCUGCUCUCCUCUCUGCAGCCCUGCUGCUGCUGUUUUUUGUUGGGACAUCAGCUCAGGGUAACCUUUAGUGUUUUUUUCCUGUGUUGCUAAAUAAAAAACAAAAAGAAAUGCCAAAAAAUCCUUGAAAAGUCACAUAGAUUAAUCGCCUUUAUUGUUUUUCUGCUCAUCUUCGGUAAACUAACUUCACCCUCCUUUGUUAUUUAAGGUAACACUAACUUCAGAGUGCAAGUGAAUGUGCCACCCACUAACAUUAAGACCUACAACACUUUUACUGCUUAUAGAGGCAGCCUCUUCGGUGGACUGACGAGACUGAGAUACUCAAACCAAGGCUUCAACUUUCAGUACAUACCACAUGAUGACUAUGGACCAUUCCUUCAGAGUGUAAAUGGUUUGGCAGGAAAUUCAUCACACUACUGGCAACUGCUGAGUGGUACAACCCCACUCAAUGUUGGUAUAGGAUGUUACCUUCCAAAGGCAAAUGAAGUCAUCACCCUUAAAUACACCUCAACACAACAGGAUCAUCUGAAAUCUCAUUCUGACUUAUAGUCAACCAACAUGCUUUGGUUUUUGACAGGUUUAAGUUAAUACUUAGUUUUUGGGUAAUUUUUCUGUUUGGAAGCUUUUCAUGACAAAAUGUGUCUAAUCAUAAGUUGGUAGCCUAUCACUGUCUUAGUUUCUUUGACUGGGUUUGUGUUAGACUUUAUCAAUUAAGAUUACAGCUUUUAUCUACACGUCUGCCACAGUGUAGCAACCUGAAGUAACAGAAAACUCCAUUGGUUACAAGAGUAAUCAGUAAAACAUUUUAAAGUUUAAAGACAUGCAAGAUUUGCAUAUUAGUCAACUGAAGUUCUUGAACUGUUUUUUAAUUUACUGCGCUUAUGGCAACUUUUAUUGUGUUUGAGAGUAAUUAGUAGUUUCUCGACUUGCCCCUGUGUGCUAUAAUUUUACAUUCAAAUUCCAUUGUUUGAGAGGUACUUAUAUACUGACAAGGGAUAUCAGUUUCAGUGUAAAAAGAUUGUUUGGUUAUACAGUAGACUCUCCAAAGGCUGCUGGCCAGGAAAAACAGCCAAUAAGGGCAGCUUAGCUUUAAAAUGGCUUCUGCAUUCUGUGAAUCCAGUUAUCAACAGCUUGGGAGCCAGGAGGUUUCUGAGAUUGACUGGGAAGCUGACCUCCUCUUGGACACCAGCAAGUCUCUAAGAUCAGCUGUGAAAUUACAACUAUUUUUGAGCUUUUGGGGGCUCCUAUGGGGUUGUGAGCAGAAUAAGAACAAAUAAAUUGCUUAAUAAUUUUUGUAUUAGUGCAUUACUGUUGAAUAACUGUUUAAUAAAAGCCUCCACUAACCACUCUGGUUUGGUGAGGAAAGGAAAAAGAAAACAGUAAAAUAUGGUGCUAUUUCUCGCAUUAUGUCACAACAAAGUAAAACAACAACUGGAGAAUGGGAUGUAUGGUGAGCAAAUCUCCAUAAGUCUUUAUCUGUCAAAACCUUAACACUUAUUUUUUUAAAGUUCCUAUUUACUCCGGUGAAUACUUUAUGCUCUGUUUUUUUUCCUGGCUUGCUCUCUAUCUGCUUGCACUGCAAUUAUUCUUAUUACCUCAUAAUGCUUUGCAAGACAACUAUAGUGCCAUCACUCCCCUCUGCUGGAUAAAAUUGGUACUGCAUAUAUUAAACAUUAAAACUGGCUUGAAUAGCAGUGGAUAACUUUGAGAGGGUUACAUUCUCUUCCUCUUAAGCCGCAUGCAUGUGGAACUUUACACUGUUUCAGUGUCCUGGGGAUAAGUUGAUCUACACUACGUACACUGUCAUGGGUCAAGGCUAAGGUGAAAGCUUGGUCUAACCCAGACAGAAUGGAGUGCAUGACUCUCACUAAAGCGGACCUUCCCAAAGUGUGGGGCUCAGUUCAACUUCAGUUGACUAAUAUGCAAAUGAAAAGGGGGGGAAAAAAACAAAACGCUUGGACACUGCUAGCACAGAGCGCCCACAGAAACGCAAAGCAGGAGAUGAAGCAUAGCUGAAUAUGUUUCCAAACCAACUUCAUUCUAAGCCAAAGACUAGAAAAUAUGGUGAAGCAUAUCUUCCCUUUGGUUUCACCUGCACAAGUGCCGAGGUAGGUCUCCCUGCAGAAUUGGUUUUCCCUCCUGUUCAAAUCACAGACAAACAGGAUCCCACAGUUGUUUAUGUUUUUAAACACAUUUUGCACAGAGAGGCAUUUUUUGAAAAAUGUAUUGAUAGCAAUGUUGAAUAUUAUUACACAUGAAAAAAAAACGACUUGUAAAAUAAUCACACCAUGACGCAUCUGUCUUUCUAAAUGGAAGGACAGUAACUGCGUGUGUAUAUGCAAGUGUGUAAAACCUGAAGAUAGUCAGAUUAACAGUAUUUCGUCUCUAUCUGCCAUUCUGCAGUUCAUCUCAUGUAAAAAAAUAACGUGCGUGACAUGAAAAAGGCGCAUACCUUUGACGUUGCGACCAACUCUGUAUUCAUCGUCCACAUGUAAAUGAAAAAAAGGAGUUUAAAAAAUCUCCGUUUUCGGUGAUUCAAAACAGCGUUUACGUGUGAACGAAACAGCUGCGUUUUCAAAAAUACCGUGUAGGUGUGGACGAAGCGUAAAAGAGUUAGUAGUUUAUUUUAUUACUACCUAUAAUUUAUUGCAGGUUACUUGUAUUUGCUUAAUUGUUUACUAAAUGUUUGAGGUGUGAAAUAAAGCGCAAUGGAGCAAAAUAUGGGCGUGUGUGGUUGGAGGAUGUGUGCGUGCGUGUGCAUGGGGGGGGGGGGCGAGAUCUCGCAA